This 80-nucleotide transfer RNA is filed under the name virus sp. ctML55. RNAcentral describes it as "tRNA-Met". It matches the Rfam family "tRNA". From Rfam's summary of the family: Transfer RNA (tRNA) molecules are approximately 80 nucleotides in length. Lineage: Duplodnaviria; Heunggongvirae; Uroviricota; Caudoviricetes; Metacrassvirales; Tripviridae. The record is from RNAcentral. RNAcentral also lists the same sequence under 1 other name.
CGUGGAGUAGAGAAGUUGGUCAUCUCGCUAGGCUCAUAACCUAGAAAUCGUCAUAAACGGUUCGAAUCCUACCUCCGCAA